GACGAACCGAGCGAACGUUGUUCGGAAUCACUGGGCUUAAAGCGUGUGUAGGCGGAAUUGUAAGUACCUUGUGAAAUCCCAUGGCUCAACCAUGGAACUGCUCGGUAUACUGCUUUUCUUGAGCCACUUAGGGGCUACCGGAACAAAUGGUGGAGCGGUGAAAUGCGUAGAUAUCAUUUGGAACGCCAAUGGUGAAAACAGGUAGCUGGGAGUGUGCUGACGCUGAGACACGAAAGCCAGGGGAGCGAACGGG
RNAcentral lists this ribosomal RNA (253 nucleotides) under uncultured bacterium. RNAcentral's name for it is "partial 16S ribosomal RNA". It matches the Rfam family "Bacterial small subunit ribosomal RNA", at positions 524 to 776 of the family's 1533-position model. The record is from RNAcentral.